This 393-nucleotide ribosomal RNA is filed under the name Triticum aestivum (bread wheat). RNAcentral's name for it is "partial small subunit ribosomal RNA". Lineage: Eukaryota; Viridiplantae; Streptophyta; Magnoliopsida; Poales; Poaceae. The record is from RNAcentral.
AUGACACCCUCACAAUACCGCAGGCCGGCCACCUGGAUGCCAGCACGAGCCGCAUAUUCCCCCUGCGUGUUUGUGCUAUUAUGUUGGCAUAGGUUACAUCGUGAGUCUACCCCCGCAUUAUAUAAGAGGCCUAGUAUACACAUGUCCUAUCAGGGCACGACUCCUACUUUAUUUAGACACAAUCCAACUCAAAGCCCAACGGUAACUUACCUUGUAUACUAUAUUCGACACAGUUACAACAAGCUCCACCUUGGCAAAUAUUUUCCACCACCUUGGAUUCGUCCAUGCGUCAAACUUUCAUCUACAUUGGACUUGAGUUUAUCCCAUGAGUACCGCCGCUACUCCCGGACUCCACGUGACUCCACCUCCAACUGUCGUCCCUUCUUUUCUUGA